RNAcentral lists this small nucleolar RNA (80 nucleotides) under Tinamus guttatus (white-throated tinamou). RNAcentral's name for it is "Small nucleolar RNA SNORD87". It matches the Rfam family "Small nucleolar RNA SNORD87". From Rfam's summary of the family: U87 (HBII-276) is a member of the C/D class of snoRNA which contain the C (UGAUGA) and D (CUGA) box motifs. Most of the members of the box C/D family function in directing site-specific 2'-O-methylation of substrate RNAs. Lineage: Eukaryota; Metazoa; Chordata; Aves; Tinamiformes; Tinamidae. The record is from Rfam by way of RNAcentral.
GCUGGCAUGAUGAUGAUGACUUUUUUGCCGUUUACCCAACUGAGGUUUUUUGAUGAGUAACUUUUAUCUGAAGUGCCAGC